RNAcentral lists this ribosomal RNA (130 nucleotides) under uncultured beta proteobacterium. Its description in RNAcentral is "partial 16S ribosomal RNA". It matches the Rfam family "Bacterial small subunit ribosomal RNA", at positions 392 to 513 of the family's 1533-position model. Lineage: Bacteria; Pseudomonadati; Pseudomonadota; Betaproteobacteria. The record is from RNAcentral.
CCAUGCCGCGGUGAGUGAUGAAGGCCUUCGGGUUGUAAAGCUCUUUCGGACGGAACGAAACGGCCGGCGUGAAUAACGCCGGUUACUGACGGUACCGUAAGAAGAAGCACCGGCUAACUACGUGCCAACC